UACGUAGGUGGCAAGCGUGGUCCGGGUUUACUGGGCGUAAAGAGCGCGCAGGCGGUUGUGCAAGUCGCGUGUGAAAGCCCCCGGCUCAACUGGGGAGGGUCACGCGAUACUGUUCGACUUGAAGGCAGGAGAGGGAAGUGGAAUUCCCGGUGUAGUGGUGAAAUGCGUAGAUAUCGGGAGGAACACCAGUGGCGAAGGCGACUUCCUGGCCUGUUCUUGACGCUGAGGCGCGAAAGCUAGGGUAGCAAACGGG
RNAcentral lists this ribosomal RNA (253 nucleotides) under uncultured bacterium. RNAcentral's name for it is "partial 16S ribosomal RNA". It matches the Rfam family "Bacterial small subunit ribosomal RNA", at positions 524 to 776 of the family's 1533-position model. The record is from RNAcentral.